CGCGCCGGACGCUCGGACGGCGGCACGGGAGCGUCACACGUUCCCCUGAGGCCGUUUUGCACCCCAGUCGAUCCGGGGGUGCGGGAGGGACCUGGGAGAUGAGCUCCCCACCCCCAGCAAGAUUUUGCCAGGGUCUGGGACAGGCGGAACCGGGGCGCCCCGGGCUCUGGGUCGCGUUCUGAAGCGUCACAAGGAAGGCUCAGCAGAGGGGAGAGGCCGGGAGGACCCGCACCGGAAAGCUAGUCGGGACGCGGUAACAGGCGCUUGUGAAACUCAGGAAACUUGACCACGGAUUUCCCUCUUUUCACAGAACGUUUAGCGGGACUGGGGUGCUCGGUGGGGAGAGCACAGGAGCUAAUCUCGUGCGUCCAGAACUCUAGAUUACCACGUGGGGGGAGCCCUGGAAGCUCCUGCAGUUAACAUGAGCUGUUGGGGUGAAGGUGUCAGUAGCAGACCUGUCCUUAAAAGCUUGAAAAUCUGGGUCUCCCUGGUGGCGCAGGCGUUUUGAGUGCUGCACUGUGAAGCUGUCCGCAGCCUCUGCAGCGCGGGUUCGAUCCUGGCUGACCGAAGAGAAUCCCACAUGGUGCCGCAGACCUCUCCUGUCUCGCCUGCUGCUUCCCUCAGCAUUUCGUCAGUCUGCCUGUUCUGUUCCCCGCUCUCUCUCUGGUGAAUCCUCUCACCCUCCCGAGCAUUUGGCCUGUACCCCAGUUCUUAUAUAAAAAUAAAUAAAUCUUAAAAAAAAAAAAAAGCUUGAAAAUAUGAGAUCCAGAAAAAAUGAUAAAAUAUUGGCUGUGGUCUUAAAAAUGACUCAAAGAUCAGCACUGAUGUCCUUUCUGCAUUAAAGAAGGGGAACUCAGAGCCUGACAUCUCAGAAGGCAGUGAAAGAAGAGAGGGUCCUUAAUCUCUAAGCUUUCUGCCUGUAGUUGCCCCAUAACUUUUUGAUUCACCCUUCCAAAGAGGGACAAGAUAGCACAACUGAGGUAUCGUGCUACCAGCUGAAGACUUUUAGAAAGAUCUAUUCCUGCAGGUGGAGCCAAGUAGACUUCAUGUAGGAGGUGAUAAAAUGUUAGGAUUAGUAAGUAGCUGGAUGGAAAAAGCAUGUCUGGUCAAGGGAACAGUAAAAAGGGAAAGAAUACUGCAAAGGAUUUAAAGUUUAUUUGAAGAAAGGGAGAUUUUUGAAGUCAUGACCACAAGGUAGAUGGUGAAGAGUUGUGGAAACGAAGCUGGAACGUCCAAGUGAGAAGCCAAUCAUGAGGGGUUUCACUAAAGUGUAACUGCACACGUGCCAGACCACAUCGAUAUCGAUGCUCUAAGGGGGGUUACUUCCCUCUGUGAAAAAUACAGACAAAUGCUGCUUAUUCGAUGGGACUAUUUUUCCCCCAAAAUCCUCCAGUUUUUUCAACUCACUUGUAUAUAGGUAUGUUUCCUUUUUUUGUCUGUAAAAGAAUGCAUUGGGACUUGGUAUAUUAAAGGAAGUUCCUCAAAGUGCCAAAUAUGGAUUCAGGGAAUGCUAAAUUCUUCUUAAUUUAAUAUAAUGUAUCCUGAAUAACAAGGUUACUCUCUUGUCACAUGAACAAAAUAAAAUAUGAACAUUGAUCCUCAAAAAAAAAAAAAAAACACUACAGUCAAGAUCCCUGACCUACUUAAAUACAACAUUUAAGAGGGUAGGAGGGAGGCAAGUAAUAAACCCAUAAAUAGACAAGGGGAUUACAAAAAAAAAUGAAUAAAAUAAGUGAUAGAAUUAUGGGGGGGAAACAAUAGAUAGGGUGUCAUUCCAGGCCUCUCAGAGGAGCUGACCUGAAAGCGUUAAGAGAGAUUUGGAUUUUAUCUUUAUGAAUGGGGGAAACUAUUGAAAGCUUUAAAACAAAUGAAAUGACAUUCAUAUUUUUGGAAUUAUCACUCAAAGGGGAGGGAAUAAGUUUGCAUAGGGAGAGGUUUUGAAGCUGGAGAAUGGGUGAGGUGGCACUUGCUGUAAUCGGGUAGGAGAUGAAGAAACUUGAAAUAAAGGAGCAGAUCUGAGAUUUAGGGGAUGCAGUUAAUCCUGGACGCAAGAUGUGAUGGCGUAGAAGAAGACCAAGUUGAUUCCCAAGAUUCCAGGGAGGGUGACAGAAUGGAUGGAGCUGAAAUGUAAAUGAAAUAGGAAACAGACAACCGGCUGGGUGAGUGGAUGGAAUCUUGAGGGGAGUGUGACACAGGCUGAUUUUCAAGUAGCUGUGGGUCCUUCAGAAAUGUCUGUCAGCAAUGAAAACUAUGUUUCAGGAACUGAGAAGAAAAAUCUGGCCUGGAGACAGAGAUUAUCAACUCUGGAAGCAAGAAUCGUGUCUUGAGAUCAGGUUCCAGUCCCGGAAGGGCCUUUAGAUAUAUACAGAUAUAUCCCCCCAGACACUACAAUCUAAUCCAACUCACAUUUGACAAAUGGAUGCUCAUUAGUUUGUUUUGAAGAAUGUGUCUUCUACCGUUCGCAUGAAAGAAAGCAGCACAAUAACAUGUUGGUUAGAACUGCCCCGAAACCUGUGCCAUCUCUGGUUUCUGUCUCUACGUCAACCCCACUGUCAUCUUCCAGACUCGCCAAAACAAGAAGCUGAGUAUCCUUUAUGCCAUCCUCUCCCUCACUACCCAUAUCCGAUCCAUCACCACAUUCCAUUGAU
Talpa occidentalis (Iberian mole) is the source of this 2648-nucleotide long non-coding RNA. RefSeq lists it as uncharacterized. The record is from RefSeq and is a predicted model, not a curated record. The transcript is spliced from 3 exons. NCBI's taxonomy places the organism in Eukaryota, Metazoa, Chordata, Mammalia, Eulipotyphla, Talpidae.